RNAcentral lists this non-coding RNA (29 nucleotides) under Rattus norvegicus (Norway rat). The record is from RNAcentral. Lineage: Eukaryota; Metazoa; Chordata; Mammalia; Rodentia; Muridae.
UAAUAACUCUCUUCGUUGAAAUGCUACUA